This 1458-nucleotide ribosomal RNA is filed under the name Enterococcus durans. RNAcentral's name for it is "bacterial SSU rRNA". It matches the Rfam family "Bacterial small subunit ribosomal RNA". The record is from RNAcentral. Lineage: Bacteria; Bacillati; Bacillota; Bacilli; Lactobacillales; Enterococcaceae.
AAACGACGAGUUUGAUCCUGGCUCAGGACGAACGCUGGCGGCGUGCCUAAUACAUGCAAGUCGUACGCUUCUUUUUCCACCGGAGCUUGCUCCACCGGAAAAAGAAGAGUGGCGAACGGGUGAGUAACACGUGGGUAACCUGCCCAUCAGAAGGGGAUAACACUUGGAAACAGGUGCUAAUACCGUAUAACAAUCGAAACCGCAUGGUUUUGAUUUGAAAGGCGCUUUCGGGUGUCGCUGAUGGAUGGACCCGCGGUGCAUUAGCUAGUUGGUGAGGUAACGGCUCACCAAGGCYACGAUGCAUAGCCGACCUGAGAGGGUGAUCGGCCACAUUGGGACUGAGACACGGCCCAAACUCCUACGGGAGGCAGCAGUAGGGAAUCUUCGGCAAUGGACGAAAGUCUGACCGAGCAACGCCGCGUGAGUGAAGAAGGUUUUCGGAUCGUAAAACUCUGUUGUUAGAGAAGAACAAGGAUGAGAGUAACUGUUCAUCCCUUGACGGUAUCUAACCAGAAAGCCACGGCUAACUACGUGCCAGCAGCCGCGGUAAUACGUAGGUGGCAAGCGUUGUCCGGAUUUAUUGGGCGUAAAGCGAGCGCAGGCGGUUUCUUAAGUCUGAUGUGAAAGCCCCCGGCUCAACCGGGGAGGGUCAUUGGAAACUGGGAGACUUGAGUGCAGAAGAGGAGAGUGGAAUUCCAUGUGUAGCGGUGAAAUGCGUAGAUAUAUGGAGGAACACCAGUGGCGAAGGCGGCUCUCUGGUCUGUAACUGACGCUGAGGCUCGAAAGCGUGGGGAGCAAACAGGAUUAGAUACCCUGGUAGUCCACGCCGUAAACGAUGAGUGCUAAGUGUUGGAGGGUUUCCGCCCUUCAGUGCUGCAGCUAACGCAUUAAGCACUCCGCCUGGGGAGUACGACCGCAAGGUUGAAACUCAAAGGAAUUGACGGGGGCCCGCACAAGCGGUGGAGCAUGUGGUUUAAUUCGAAGCAACGCGAAGAACCUUACCAGGUCUUGACAUCCUUUGACCACUCUAGAGAUAGAGCUUCCCCUUCGGGGGCAAAGUGACAGGUGGUGCAUGGUUGUCGUCAGCUCGUGUCGUGAGAUGUUGGGUUAAGUCCCGCAACGAGCGCAACCCUUAUUGUUAGUUGCCAUCAUUCAGUUGGGCACUCUAGCAAGACUGCCGGUGACAAACCGGAGGAAGGUGGGGAUGACGUCAAAUCAUCAUGCCCCUUAUGACCUGGGCUACACACGUGCUACAAUGGGAAGUACAACGAGUCGCGAAGUCGCGAGGCUAAGCUAAUCUCUUAAAGCUUCUCUCAGUUCGGAUUGUAGGCUGCAACUCGCCUACAUGAAGCCGGAAUCGCUAGUAAUCGCGGAUCAGCACGCCGCGGUGAAUACGUUCCCGGGCCUUGUACACACCGCCCGUCACACCACGAGAGUUUGUAACACCCGAAGUCGGUG